AACGAACGCUGGCGGCAGGCCUAACACAUGCAAGUCGAACGAGAUCUUCGGAUCUAGUGGCGGACGGGUGAGUAACGCGUGGGAACGUGCCCUUCUCUACGGAAUAGUCCUGGGAAACUGGGUUUAAUACCGUAUACGCCCUUCGGGGGAAAGAAUUUCGGGGAAGGAUCGGCCCGCGUUGGAUUAGGUAGUUGGUGGGGUAAUGGCCUACCAAGCCGACGAUCCAUAGCUGGUUUGAGAGGAUGAUCAGCCACACUGGGACUGAGACACGGCCCAGACUCCUACGGGAGGCAGCAGUGGGGAAUCUUAGACAAUGGGGGGCAACCUCGACUAGCACUGCCGCGUGAGUGACGAAGGCCUACGGUCGGUAAAGACUCUUUCGUCCAGGGAAUGAGUAAUGACAGUACCUGGUAAGAAACCCCGGCCUAACUCCGU
Molecule: ribosomal RNA, 435 nt
Filed under: uncultured bacterium
Lineage: Bacteria
Description: bacterial SSU rRNA
Rfam family: Bacterial small subunit ribosomal RNA
Source: RNAcentral